This 482-nucleotide ribosomal RNA is filed under the name uncultured Polaribacter sp. RNAcentral's name for it is "bacterial SSU rRNA". It matches the Rfam family "Bacterial small subunit ribosomal RNA", at positions 28 to 505 of the family's 1533-position model. Lineage: Bacteria; Pseudomonadati; Bacteroidota; Flavobacteriia; Flavobacteriales; Flavobacteriaceae. The record is from RNAcentral.
GAUGAACGCUAGCGGCAGGCUUAACACAUGCAAGUCGAGGGGUAACAUUGGUGCUUGCAUCAGAUGACGACCGGCGCACGGGUGCGUAACGCGUAUAGAACCUACCUUUUACAGAGGGAUAGCCUUUAGAAAUGAAGAUUAAUACCUCAUGGUAUUGAGAAAUCGCAUGAUUACUUAAUUAAAGAUUUAUCGGUAAAAGAUGGCUAUGCGUCCUAUUAGCUAGAUGGUAAGGUAACGGCUUACCAUGGCAACGAUAGGUAGGGGCCCUGAGAGGGGGAUCCCCCACACUGGUACUGAGACACGGACCAGACUCCUACGGGAGGCAGCAGUGAGGAAUAUUGGGCAAUGGAGGCAACUCUGACCCAGCCAUGCCGCGUGCAGGAAGACUGCCCUAUGGGUUGUAAACUGCUUUUAUACAGGAAGAAACCACUCUACGUGUAGAGUGCUGACGGUACUGUAAGAAUAAGCACCGGCUAACUCCG